UUUUACCCAAUUUCCCACGCCUGGCCAGCCCAAUUCCCUCUUCAAUAAAACAAUACCUUUCCCCGUUAACAUAAAAAAGGCUAAGGCUGAAAAUCGUAAACCUUCCCCUUUCCUGAUAGAGAGAAACAAUGUUGCUCUCUGCCCUCUUCAACAUAGACAAAAAUGGACUCCUCCCCUCUCAUAGAGAACAAUCAGAAACGACCCACCCCCUCUUCUCCCUCUUCACUUUCACAUACACCCAGGAUAAUAGCAGCUGCAAAAUACCAACAAAAAGAAAAACCAGAUCCACAAAAUCAAAAGCUAAAAAUAGGAAGAAAAAAUUAGAAUUUUCAAUGGAGAUUUGAAGAACUGAUUUCAAAUCUUGAUUUCCUCUAUUUUUGGGUCUCUGAAAGUUGUUCUGGACUUGAAUUUGCCGUUCGAUUCUCUCUGACUUUGCUGUUUGCUGGAACCGUUACUGAGCUUCGUCCUCAUUAUUUUUCGCCUAGCAGGUACUUCUCUUAAAUUCUGGAUUGUCAAUUGAAUAGGAAAUGUGUCUCUAAUGGAAGAUGCAUGUUAGUUGUGAAGUUAUUGGAAUUAAUCUCGUUUGGCUCUAAAUUUCUGUUUUUCUAUCAAUGCUUUAGCAUUUUGAAUUACUAGUUUCUUAUUCUGUUUUAACAUUCAUAGAUUCGAGGAUGUUCCUUUGAACCUUUUGAUCUUUUCAUUUCUUACUUAAACUUCUUUUGGAGGGGUAUAGGUGUAAGGUUAAUCGCUGCCAAUCCGAUUGUUAAGCAUUUUAUCUGCUCGUACAAAUAUGACGUUCCCUUUGCAGAAAUUUGAUGUUGCAGAAUGGAAUUUUAUUGUUAAUUUGUAGUUUAUGAUUUUUCCAAUCCUAGUUGGAAGUGGGAACUAGGAUGCCAAAGACGUUUUUAAUGCAGAAUGGGUCAUUUUGCGUCCUAUAUUCAAUCGCCUAUCGAUUUGCUUUGUGUUUAGUUUGAUUUUUAUUUUUUAUUUGCUUAAUAUUCUUUGUUCUAACCUUUAUUGAAGAAUCAAAAGAAAACCUCCAUUUUGUAAAAUAUCAUCAGCAGUCAAUCUUAAGCAGAUUGUUUUUUUAAAUUUGUUAGAAACAAAGCAGAAUUAAGGGUCAGAUGAAUUUGAAGUUUACACAAAUUUAGACUUUAAAAGAAAUGAAUUUAAUCCAAACUACCCCAAGCAUAUAUAUAAUUAGUAGCCUUAUAUUGAACUUCAAAUUAGUUUUAAAUAUGAGCAUCUUAUUUUGCUUUAGUUGAGUACAAUCUUAUGAAAUAAUUUGAGUGUCAUUCACAAAUAAAUCCAUAAGCUAUAGCCCUCACAUUAAUAUUAACUUAGUAUAGAAAACACCCUUGAACAUCCGUAGCUUGCCUUAGGCGCGUUUUAUAAUAGAUUAUCGUGGCUAUGGGUACGGUUCCCGUGGCAUAGUCAUGAUACCUAAUUCCCAAAGUCGGGGGUGCAUUUCAUGUAACCCGAUCAUAACAACUUCAAAUAUUAAUAAAAUAAACAUGUCGUGAAUCGCGGGUGUAUUUCAUGUAGCGUGGUUCACGGCUUGUUCCAAAAUAAACAAGUGUACGACAAUCGUAACAUGUUCAAGAAAUAAUUCCAUAAAUCUUAAAAGCGGUUUUUAAAAUAAUUAAAAGGCGGUUAUACAGCUAAAAAUGUACAAUAGGUUUAUACAGCUAAAAAUGUUUUAAAAAGGCGGUUCUUAAAACAUGUAUUAAUCAGAUAAUUAGACCAAUUUUAAUAAUUUAAGCGAUUGUGCUCGAACCACGGAACCCGGGAAUGCCUAAUACCUUCUCCCGGGUUAACAGAAUUCUUUAUCUAGAAUUUCUGGUUCGCAGACUUUUAAAAUAAAGUCGAAAAUUCCUUGAUUUUGGAUUUUAAAAAUAAGUCGGUGACUUGGGACACCAUAAUAAAUAUCCCAAAUGGCAACUCUAUAAAAUUAAAUAAAAUAAUCUCAUUUCGAAUAAUGUCACUUUAAUUGGAAAAACUCCCUUAUAUCCCCUUCGGGUGGUAAAAAAGGAGGUGUGACAGUAACGACCCAACUGGUCGUGUUGAGCAAUUAUGUCCGGUUCGGUAGUUUGAGGUCACUAAUAGCUUCAUAUUAUAUGUAUCGACUUGUGUGCACAGUCCGGGCAUGAAACCGAAAAGCAUUUAUGUGAAAAUAUGAAAAAUAUAGUAAUUCUAGAGUUAAAAUUUGGUUUUUAGUUGACUUUGGUCAAUAUUUUUAGUAAACGGACCCGGAUCUGUGUUUCAACGAUCCCGAAGGUCCGCAAAAAAAUAUGGGACUUGAGCAUAUGCCCGGAAUUGAAUUCCGAGGUCCCUAGUCUUAGAAAAUAAUUUUUGAAGAAAAUUGUUGUGCUGGUUUUUAAAGGAAAUAAAGAAAUGAAUUAAUGUUUGAACUCGUUGGUAUCGGGCCCGUAUUUUGGUUCCGGAGUUUGGUACAAGUUUGUUAUGAUAUUUAAGUCCUAUUUGUGAAAUUUGGUGAGAAUCGGAAUUGAUUUGACGUGAUUUGGACGUUCGGUUGAAAAGUUAGAAAAUCAUAAGUUUUGAGGUUAAAUUCAUAGUUUUUGAUAUUAUUUUGAUGAUUUUAUCAUACGAUCAAGUCUGUAUGAUGUUUUUAGACUUGCGUGCAUAUUUGGUUUGGAGCCCCGAGGGCUUGGGUGAGUUUUGAAUAGGUUUAGGCUAUGUUGCGCUUGUUUUUGGAUGCUUCAUCGUCAAUUCUUCAAGCAAAAAUGAUACCAUAUUGAGAAAAUGAGAUCCAAAUUCAAUUUUUAUUGAACCAUUAGAUCCGUAUCGAAAUUACGGAGUCAUAGAAAAAAGAAUCAUCGAAUUUUUACAUUGUAUGAGGAAGUUAUGUUCAUUUUCGUGUCGGAAAAAAUUGUUGGUUUAUGGUGUUGUCGCAAAUGCGAACUUUUUCAUCGCAAUUGAAUGACCUGUUCACAAAUGCAAACUUUUUAUCACAACUGCGACUUUUGCCAGCCCUGCCUUGUUCGCAAUUGUGAGGGUUCGUAAAUGCGACAUCUGAGGUUUAUUAAGUGAGAUUUUUGACGGGAUUUUCACCCAUUUUUUAAUUUUCUCAAACCCUAAACCUCCAUAUGCGAUUUUCCAAAAACCCAAACUUCUCCAAAUCAUUGGUUAAAUGUCUCUAAUCAAUUUCCAACUAUAUUUUGUGAUUAUAUCUUAGAUUUAACAUCAAAUUCAUGAGAAUCUAAAGGAAAAUUUGGGGAAAAUUUGUAAAAUCUUUCAAAAAUGUAAAAUGAUGAUUUGGGGGACCAAAUGGUGUCGGAAUUAAAUAAUUUUCGUAUGGGUGAACUCGUAUCGGAAUGGGUAUUCAGUGUUUGUAAAUUUUGUCGGGUUCCAAGGUGCGGGCUCAGGGAGUUGACUUUUGUUGACUUUUUGCAAAUUGUAUAAAAAUCAUAGUUUUGUUAAUUGAAAUUGUUUUCUCUUGCAUGUUUGAUGUAUUCAAGUUGUUUUUGGCUAAAUUGAGCCGAGCAUUGAUGAAUUGGUAAAGGAAAAGCUAAAUUAUAUUGAAUUGGCCGGAUUGAGGUAAGUAUCAUGACUAACCUCAUGUGGGGGGGCUUCCCUUUAGGAUUUGAGUCUUCUAUUUUGAUUGUAGUCCGUGUACGCGAGAUGACGAGUGCAUGUUCGAACUUAUUUGUGAAAAGUUGGCCUUUUAGAGUUCUUAGGUCCCUGUAUUCACUGAGUAUGAAGUUGUUCUUGAUAUGAUUUAGCUUCCAUUUGCUAGUUUCACCUAUACAUGCAUUAAUUGGAAUUAACUGUUUUAUAAUUCAUUCUUAUUGCCUAUUUGACUCUUAUUUUGCUUAAUUGAAGAUUUUUACCUCUUCUAUUGUCAUGCUAUCUUUCAUAACUGCUUAUCUUUAUUGGAAACCAUUAUUAUCUCUCCUGUAAUUAUUUAGUCUUAACCGAGGUUAUGAUUAUCUUCCCGCUGCUCAUCCUUAAUUGAAAUUGUUGUAUAUUCUUCGUAAUUUGCCCAACCUUGAAAGAAGUUUAGGUAUCCUAUAUUUAGUUGACAUUUCCUUAUUUGAAAUUAUUUGAUUCGUGUUAGCUUCCUUGUUGUUGAACUACAUAUUGUGGGAUCGUUGCUUCACAUUAUUUUCUUCCUUGUUGAGAUGUUCUUAUUACGCUUAGUAUUCUCUAUUGUGGUUAUUCCUUGUGAUCUAGUUUUACUCUCUCCUUGUGAUCGAAAGUUCUCGAGUUGAUUUACUUGUCGUGUUCUUGUAUAUAUUGUCAUUGUUGCUAUGGUACUUGUUGUGGUGGUGCACGAGGUUUCUGCCGUGCGGUUGUUGAUAUUGUGAUGCACGAGGUUUCUGCCAUGCGGUUAUUGUUAUGGGGUUGCACGAGGUUUCUGUCGUGCUAUUGCUACUAUUGACAUAUUGCAAAUGCGGCGUGACAAGGCGGGAUAUGCAUAUAUAUAUGUGGGGGGGUUGCGCAUGCGGCGAGACAAGGUGCGCUAUGUCAGGGAUUGAUUAUGAUGAUUUGUGAUAGCCUGUGGGCAUUCUUUCUAUUUGAUAUUGUAUUGCGGUACGUUUACCUGUAUGAGUUUUAUCUUGUGGAAGUUGUGAGAAAACAUCUUACGUGUUGUCCGUUCUUUUCCUUAUGCUUAUUAGCUGGUAUGAACUAUGUUAAAGCACUUGUACAAGCAUACACGUAGUUGAACACUCUCAUUGGAUAUGAAGUUCUCCUGACAUUGCUGAGUAUAGAUGUACACCCUCGUCUACUUGUCAUAGAUAUGAGAGUAGCUCUAGUUAGUAAGUGAGUAUCAGCGUGACCAUGAGUUGUGAUAGGGGCACCGAAUGCCAAGUGUUAGGGUUUAGGUAUUGGGACCCGUGAGCUGUAUGUUGUCCGAGGUUUGGUAUUUCGUGGUGUCCGUUGGCUAAGACUUGAUGUGAACACUGUCGUAGGUUCUGAGUUAUUUCUUAUCUUUACUAUAUUUGUGAUUUAGGUUUUGGUGUGAUUUCGCUCGCUCUUCUAUGUCAUUAUUAUGGUAUUUCCGCUGUUACUUGUUGUUUUUCUUCCCUUACUGUGAUUGUUGUAUUGUUAGCCAUAGUGUGUAGUCUUUAUAUGUAUACAUCAUCUUCCGUUGAUCCUAUGCUUAUAUUUGUACAGUUUAUUAGACCAGUAGGUGUCUUGACUGUUCCUCGUCACUUCUCUACCGAGGUUAGUCUUGAUACUUACUGGGCACCGCUGUGGUGUGCUCAUGCUACUUUUUUGCACAUUUUUGUUGUCCAGAUCCAGGUGUGGAUCGUUAGUAGUUGUGCGUAUCAUUGCUGAGGAGACUCAAGGUAAACCUGUUGCUGCGUUCGCAGGCUUCAGAGUCACCUUCUUACUUGUAUUCAACUGUUUUCACUCUUUUCCAAAUAGUUUAUAUAGAAGUGGUAGCUAACUCUGUAGAGCUUAUGACUUGCACUAUCGGGUUUUGGGAAUAUGCUCAUUGUAUAAAAGAUUCAUUCCAGAAAAAAAAUUUAAGUUGUUAUUUAUUAUUGUUGUUCUUCUGUAAAUAUUAGGCUUACCUAGUCCUUAAGACUAGGUGCCAUCACGAAACCCAACGGAGGGAAAAUUGGGUCGUGACAUAAACAUAGUGUAUAUAAACUAUAUACACAUUUAGUAUGUGUAAUGUGUGCACGCCAUGUAUGUACAAUGUANNNNNNNNNNNNNNNNNNNNNNNNNGUGUGUAUGUAUGUAUGUAUGUGUGUGUGUGUAUGUGUUUAUGUGUGUGUAUUAGGAUGUGUAAAAAGUGUAUAUAUAUUUUAUACUAGUGUGUACACAAAUUGUAGUAUGGGGAAACAUUUGAAAGAUUUUUGAUUCGUUAUAUAAAUUUGUAUAUUUUUUGUAUAAG
Molecule: long non-coding RNA, 5869 nt
Filed under: Nicotiana tabacum (common tobacco)
Lineage: Eukaryota; Viridiplantae; Streptophyta; Magnoliopsida; Solanales; Solanaceae
Description: long non-coding RNA (NTAB_LNC014996)
Source: RNAcentral